CCAAACUUGGUCAUUUAGAGGAAGUAAAAGUCGUAACAAGGUUUCCGUAGGUGAACCUGCGGAAGGAUCAUUAACGCGUCGGGGCGGUCCUCGCGGCCGCCCGUCUGGCACCCUUGUCUACCCGACCUCCGUUGCCUCGGCGGGCCCGUCGUGGGCACGAUCGCACCCGCGAUCGGGGACCCCGGCCGCCCGGGCUCGACGCCCGGGCCCGCGCCCGCCGGAGGGAUGUCCGAACCACUGUGAAGCACUGCGGUCGUCUGAGCGUCGUGACGAAUCGUCAAAACUUUCAACAAUGGAUCUCUUGGCUCCGGCAUCGAUGAAGAACGCAGC
Molecule: unclassified non-coding RNA, 330 nt
Filed under: uncultured fungus
Lineage: Eukaryota; Fungi
Description: partial contains small subunit ribosomal RNA, internal transcribed spacer 1, and 5.8S ribosomal RNA
Rfam family: Eukaryotic small subunit ribosomal RNA (bases 1-73)
Source: RNAcentral